Molecule: ribosomal RNA, 555 nt
Filed under: uncultured archaeon
Lineage: Archaea
Description: bacterial SSU rRNA
Rfam family: Bacterial small subunit ribosomal RNA
Source: RNAcentral
CAGCCGCCGCGGUAACACGUAGGGGGCGAGCGUUGUCCGGAAUUACUGGGCGUAAAGGGUGCGUAGGCGGCCUUAUAAGUCAUGUGUGAAAAACCCGGGCUCAACCCGGGUAUUGCAAGUGAAACUAUAGGGCUUGAGUGCAGGAGAGGGAAGUGGAAUUCCUAGUGUAGCGGUGAAAUGCGUAGAGAUUAGGAGGAACACCAGUGGCGAAGGCGGCUUCCUGGACUGCAACUGACGCUGAGGCACGAAAGCGUGGGGAGCAAACAGGAUUAGAUACCCUGGUAGUCCACGCCGUAAACGCUGGAUACUAGGUGUAGGUACCGAUGAGGUAUCUGUGCCGUAGUUAACGCAAUAAGUAUCCCGCCUGGGGAGUACGGCCGCAAGGCUGAAACUCAAAGGAAUUGACGGGGGCCCGCACAAGCAGCGGAGCAUGUGGUUUAAUUCGAAGCAACGCGAAGAACCUUACCAGGGCUUGACAUCCCUCUGGAUGGUAUAGAGAUAUGCCAGGCCGGUGUUGUUAAGAUACCGGACAGAGGAGACAGGAGGUGCAUGGCC